GGCGGUGUGACUCAGUGGGUAGGGCAUUGGCCUCAUACACCAAGGGUGGUGGGUUCAAACCCGGCCCCAGCCA
RNAcentral lists this transfer RNA (73 nucleotides) under Otolemur garnettii (small-eared galago). It matches the Rfam family "tRNA". From Rfam's summary of the family: Transfer RNA (tRNA) molecules are approximately 80 nucleotides in length. Their secondary structure includes four short double-helical elements and three loops (D, anti-codon, and T loops). Lineage: Eukaryota; Metazoa; Chordata; Mammalia; Primates; Galagidae. The record is from Rfam by way of RNAcentral.